RNAcentral lists this long non-coding RNA (406 nucleotides) under Salmo salar (Atlantic salmon). Its description in RNAcentral is "lncRNA (ENSSSAG00000118673.1, ENSSSAG00020084508.1, ENSSSAG00075048607.1)". The record is from RNAcentral. Lineage: Eukaryota; Metazoa; Chordata; Actinopteri; Salmoniformes; Salmonidae.
CCAAAGUUCAAGACGUCUUGGACUGACAAGGCUGAUGUCAUCACAGCCGGUUUGACAGAAUCAGCUUGACAGAAUCACACAGGACGAGACUGAGCAUCUAAGGCAGCAUUCAUCUGAUGAAGAGGACUUCUUCUCAUCACUGACAACCAAACGGUCAGAAGGUACAGGGGAGCUGGAUAGGUAUCUUGCUAGUCCAUCGACCAAAAUUGUUUACCACAUUUUGUUUCUGUACAUAAAGAAGUUGUCCCUCAAACUCAACACAGGCCUGCAUCUGCCGCCUGUGAGAGUCUUUUUAGCUGUGCUGGACUACUCGUCACUGAAAAGCGAGCCAGGAUAGACUCAAUUAACUUAGAAAAUCAGCUCCUACUGAAACUGAAUGGCAAAUUCAGAGAGAACUGAAGUGAGA